AUUGAACGCUGGCGGCAGGCCUAACACAUGCAAGUCGAGCGGAUGAAGGGAGCUUGCUCCUGGAUUCAGCGGCGGACGGGUGAGUAAUGCCUAGGAAUCUGCCUGGUAGUGGGGGAUAACGUCCGGAAACGGGCGCUAAUACCGCAUACGUCCUGAGGGAGAAAGUGGGGGAUCUUCGGACCUCACGCUAUCAGAUGAGCCUAGGUCGGAUUAGCUAGUUGGUGGGGUAAAGGCUUACCAAGGCGACGAUCCGUAACUGGUCUGAGAGGAUGAUCAGUCACACUGGAACUGAGACACGGUCCAGACUCCUACGGGAGGCAGCAGUGGGGAAUAUUGGACAAUGGGCGAAAGCCUGAUCCAGCCAUGCCGCGUGUGUGAAGAAGGUCUUCGGAUUGUAAAGCACUUUAAGUUGGGAGGAAGGGCAGUAAGUUAAUACCUUGCUGUCUUGACGUUACCAACAGAAUAAGCACCGGCUAACUUCGUG
RNAcentral lists this ribosomal RNA (484 nucleotides) under uncultured bacterium. RNAcentral's name for it is "partial 16S ribosomal RNA". It matches the Rfam family "Bacterial small subunit ribosomal RNA", at positions 30 to 507 of the family's 1533-position model. The record is from RNAcentral.